GGAGGGUGCAAGCAUUAAUCGGAGUUUACUGGGGCGUAAAGGGCGCGUAGGCGGCUUAUUAAGUCAUAUGUGAAAUUCCAAGACUCAAUCUUGGACCUGCAUGUGAAACUGAUAGGCUUGAGGAAAAGUGGAGAAAAUGGAAUUCCCCGUGUAGCGGUGAAAUGCGUAGAUAUGGGGAGGAACAUCGGUGGCGAAGGCGGUUUUCUAACUUUUACCUGACGCUGAGGCGCGAAAGCGAGGGGAUCAAACAGGAUUAGAUACCCUGGUAGUCCUCGCUGUAAACGAUGCAUACUUGAUGUAGAUAGGGCUCAACCCUGUCUGUGUCGAAGCUAACGCGGUAAGUAUGCCGCCUGAGUAGUACGCUCGCAAGGGUG
RNAcentral lists this ribosomal RNA (374 nucleotides) under uncultured organism. Its description in RNAcentral is "partial 16S ribosomal RNA". It matches the Rfam family "Bacterial small subunit ribosomal RNA", at positions 527 to 896 of the family's 1533-position model. The record is from RNAcentral.